CUUUUAACACCAACUCUUAUCACAAAAUUGCAAACCCAUUCAAAGUACGUUCUCCUUCCUCUACGCUGUGUCCAUACCAUUAGCUUAUUGCUAUUAGCUUUUUCUUUUAGGAAUUUCAAACAAAAUAUAGAAAAGAAAAUUUCAGGAAAAUGUUAAUAUACGAUCCAUUUUGUAGCAGCAACAUAAAAUCAAUAUUGCAUAUUAGAUGUAUGAAAGUUCUAGGAUUUUUUUUGUUGGGUCUUGCUCUGCAAAAUCUAAUUGAUUUUGAUAUUGAUGUGCUUUUCUUGUUGGGUUCUCUUUGAACAGCGGACACACCAACACUUUACGAUGUGAAUCGCAGUGAGUUUGUUCGAGUUCGUCGAUUGAGGUCGCUUACCAGUAGAUUUGAUAUUUAGCUCAGUUGAUUGCGUCUGCUUCUCUCCAGGUGUUGAAAAUGAAGAAAGGGAAGACGCAAGCAGUGAAGACCUUACUCAAGAAGAUAUUUCACUUGAGAAGAUUUUUGGAUUUUUGCUGAAGCUUUAGAUGUUCUAGGAAUAUUUUGCUAUUGACAUUUUGGAACUUAUGCACACUCUUUAAAUGUAAAACUUUUAUGUAUUUGAGUUUUAACAUUUUGCUUUUAUGGAUAUCAUAACUAGCUUGUGGACAAUAUGGAUUAUGAAAAGUUUCA
Molecule: long non-coding RNA, 667 nt
Organism: Lycium barbarum (goji berry)
Lineage: Eukaryota; Viridiplantae; Streptophyta; Magnoliopsida; Solanales; Solanaceae
Exons: 3
Source: RefSeq, a predicted model, not a curated record